AUGGAGAAGGGCCUGGACACGGCGGCGACGAAGCGAGGAUCCGAGGCCGAGGCGGAGGAGCCGGGGCGGAAGAAGGCGGCGGGGGCGACCAAGACGGCGAAGGUGGUGCCGUGGCUGAUGGAUUCGUUCGACCAGAUGUUCGACGAGGUGAGGCUGAAGCAUGCGGUGGCGAGGCUGAACAAGGCGAACCCCGGCGCGCCGCCGGUCGUGCCGGAGGAGCUCACCGAGGAGAGGCGGGCGGCGCUGCUGCAGGAAGAUACGGAGUGGAGGAACAGCAUGAAGGAGGAGGAGCUCGCGGCCGCGCGGAGAUACGUGGCGGAGCAAGCCCGGGCGCCACCAUCGCCGGAGGAACCCACCGACCCCAGCAAGGACAGGUGGCAGCUGGAUUAUGACCUUGGCCGCCAGGAAUUGGAAAUGAAACUGGCAAAAUGGGAGGACUUCGAGGGCUUCGACUUCGAGCGCAACACGCUUAUCCCUCCCAUGUGUUUCACCGACAACCCAAUGCCUGAUGACACCGACCACAGGCUUACUGCGCAGAUCUUUACCGUCAAGGUAGCGGGAAUAGAUGGGGAUUUGCAGUGGCCUCUGGAUGUGUUUGGUAUGGUCGCUGUGCGCGACAAGCUGGAUUACAGUCGCAAUGUUAUCUUCAACCGCACGAGGGACAACUGCCAAACCCUCACUCAACAGGAUCCAUAUUUGGUACUGGUAGGUCCUACCCGUGCUGUGCUCUAUAGUGGGUAUGUGUACUUUGAUGCCAUGCUGAAAGUGAAGGGAAGGACAGAAUUUGAGGACACUGAUCUAAGCCUUGUAUUUGAGCGCUUCUUAUGCUGUGAAAAGCUCAAUUUAUGCGUAAGCUUUGGAGAGUGCAUGCUCCGUUCCUGCGUGAGUAGCAGUCUCUACACCAGCAAGCUUAGUACAUUGGAGUUAACAUGUGGCCUCGUUGUGUCUUCUGUUGAGGCCACCAUCGCCGCGCAGAUCGUCAAGGGGUCAUGGCCAGAAGGGUCCCGAGGCCAGCUUACUGCCUGUAUCGGCAGUGUGGGUGACAUGAAUGUCAUGCUGCUCGACUGUAGAGAAGAGAAGUCGCCUGUUAUUGCUGCUGAUGGCACAAUUCAGCUCUCGCGCCGUGUUGUGUCUGUUGAGAGGUUUGGCCAACUGAUAGUCCGUGGCGUGGUGAAUCGAGGUGGUGGUGACCAUGACAAGGUUCUGGCAGAGGGUAAGGCAUCCUUUGCGCCUCUUGAUGCAGGUCGAAGCCGUGGUACGCUUGAUCUUAACGGCAUGUGUAAGCUGGAAAUCACUGUCGCCUGGUCUCUUAUCCUGAAGUACCCACCGGUUGGUGGUCUACCUCCAACCAGUUGA
Molecule: ribosomal RNA, 1356 nt
Filed under: Triticum aestivum (bread wheat)
Lineage: Eukaryota; Viridiplantae; Streptophyta; Magnoliopsida; Poales; Poaceae
Description: partial small subunit ribosomal RNA
Source: RNAcentral